CAAUUAUCGUAUUGGAAAAUGCGCGGGGAAAAAAAAAACACCUCGUUCCCCCUGCCCCCCCCCUCCGACCUCUCCCACCCGCGCGUUUUAUUACGGAUUUCGUCGCGACAUUAUAGGCGUACCGCGUUAUCCGCCGUUCCGUGACGACGCGUUUUGCCGGGCAAAUUUUUUUAAAUUUUUUUUUUUUUUUUUCCUGAAAAUUGCACGAUAUAUUCUAAUUAUAUAUCGUUAUAUACAUACAUGUAUACACAUACGCGUACACAUAUAUUUGUAAUUCGCAAAACAAUUAAUUAUCGUGAUGUAAAAUCACGGCUGUGAUAAAAUACCGUAUCGUCCGAAACGAACGCGUAUCGAAAACGUACGAGAUGCGAUAUUCGUAUUGGCACACGCGUUGGUGUAACGUGGCGGGGGAAAAAAAAAAAAUAAAUAUUUUUAUCCGAAAUACGAUUAUGCCGUUGUUGUUCGUUACCGUUGCGUCGGCAUCGCGUAUCGCGCGUAUUAGACUAGUGGUUGCGAAUGGAUUUUUUUACUACCGUUGUCAUUGUUAUUGUCGCCAGCGCGUUUGUUGCGACAGUAGGCGUUUACGUUCAACCGGUCCGGGUCUCCGCGACUAUAUUAUUGUUGUUAUAAUUGUUUUUAUUUUUAUUACUUUUUUUUUUUUCCUUCUAAAACUAAACUAUAAUAUAUACAACAGACAUAUCACUCGAUAACUUGUAAGAGGGUACAACGAUAUAAUAAUUUACACACACACACACACACACACACAUAUGAAUGUAUGCGAAUUUAAUUUAAUAUUUUUUUUGUUUUUUUCUAGACGAAAUUGUAUGCAAAAUUUUACGUGUUAAUAUUUGUAUUCGCGUAGACCUAUUGUAAAAAUACUAAUUAUUGUGAUGUUUAUUGUGAUCGCGUGUGUCCGGUAACGCGGCAUUGCCGCACGUUGUUCGAUUUGAUUAUUAUUAUUAUUAUUAUUAUCAUUAUCAUUAUACUUUUUUAGUCCAUAAUAUAUCGUAUACAUAUCGCGUACAUAUCUAUAUAUGCGUAUUCGCUAAGGUACAAUGUGUCGAAUUUUUCAGCCUAUUUUCCGUGGCCAACGCGGUUUUUUUUUGUGUUUUGUUUUUUUUUUUUUUUUCAGAUACGAGUCCGUUAUAACGUGUACCCCCAUAUAACCCAUGUACCGCGAUUCCGUUUUUUUUCCCCGGUCGGAAAUCCCGAUGCCGUAAACCGACCGCCGCGAAAACGGGGAAAAAAACAAAAAAAAAAAAAAACAAGAAACAAACGAAAAACCGAAACGUUCUUCGCGUUCCCCCGCGGCUGUACGUAUUAUGUUUUAUCGUGUCUGGCGGGGAAAAACGAUUUUUCCGCGGCGAUUUUGUUUCGCGAAAAAAUAAAAAAAAAAAAAAACCCCCGAAACAUCCGACGGCCGUUGUUUUACUCGACCGCCCCCCCCCGACCAACCAACCCCCCCCCCCUUCCCAAUGCGUGUAACGGCUCGUAUAUAAGUUACAGAAAUCAUAUAUGUAUAUUUAUUUAUGUCAUAGUUCAAACGAUUAUCAUCAUAUUGUUACGGUUAAGUAUUUGUGUUUUAGAAUAUUAUUAAGCGGAUUAUAUAAAAAAAUAUAUAUAUUUAGGUAACGUAAUUGUAUUAUAAUUAUUAUGAUAAUAUAUUGUAC
RNAcentral lists this long non-coding RNA (1670 nucleotides) under Cinara cedri. The record is from RNAcentral. Lineage: Eukaryota; Metazoa; Arthropoda; Insecta; Hemiptera; Aphididae.